RNAcentral lists this long non-coding RNA (839 nucleotides) under Brachypodium distachyon (stiff brome). RNAcentral describes it as "long non-coding RNA (BDIS_LNC005706)". The record is from RNAcentral. Lineage: Eukaryota; Viridiplantae; Streptophyta; Magnoliopsida; Poales; Poaceae.
GGUAAAAUAACCAUUUUCAGCCCAUUUCGGGCAUUACCGCACCUUAUGCCGAGGUGCCCACCGAUUCCCCCCUUCCAUCCAUCCCUAUCCCUCACGCGCACAGUGCGAGGUUGCGGCACCUAGGGUUGACCGCCUGCCCUCCUCCACGUCGGCGGCUCACCGCCGUCGGCCUACCUCGUCGGAGCCUACUCCCUCCGGCCCUUCCCCGGAACGCUGGCACCCACUUACCUCACCAUCGAGCCAGUCGCCACCAACGUCCCCGUCCUCGGCUGCCCUCCACCACCUCGCCAGCGUCCACCCUGCAAUCCCUCGUCUCGUCGGAGUCGCGCCGCUCCUCCCCGACCAUAGUCGCCAGCCCACUCCACCGGAUCUCGUGCUGUCACCGGCUAACGCCACCGCCUAGCCCCGCCGGUCCAAGGAGAGCCCCAGCCUCCUAGCUCUCUUUGUUGCUCCACUGCUCCCUCAUUUUCUCUGUUGCUCCGCUGUUUCUCCAUGCUCUCUGCUAAUUGAUGGGAAUAUGAGAUAUAUGCUAAUUAGUGGUGUAUGAGAUGGACGGAAAUACUUUCUAUGUAUGCUUGUAUCGGUGGGUGGGAUGACCGUAAUUCGGUAGGGAUGUAUGGAUGGGAGCAGUAGCAUGUAUGGAUGUUCAGAGCAUGUAUUCGGUAGGGUACUGUAAUUUGUCAUCUCCAUAUUCAUGGAAAAUAUGGUUCUGUGAUGAUGUAUCAUAGGUGUAGAUCCCCUUGUAAUUUUGCAAAUCUAUGUUGUCGGACGCAUCAUAGUUACUCCCUGCGUUUCUUAAAUUAGGACGUAUAUUGUUUUUUUGACCGAGCCUUUGACCA